GACGAACGCUGGCGGCGUGCCUAAUACAUGCAAGUAGAACGCUGAAGAGAGGAGCUUGCUCUUCUUGGAUGAGUUGCGAACGGGUGAGUAACGCGUAGGUAACCUGCCUUGUAGCGGGGGAUAACUAUUGGAAACGAUAGCUAAUACCGCAUAACAAUGGAUGACACAUGUCAUUUAUUUGAAAGGGGCAAUUGCUCCACUACAAGAUGGACCUGCGUUGUAUUAGCUAGUAGGUGAGGUAACGGCUCACCUAGGCGACGAUACAUAGCCAACCUGAGAGGGUGAUCGGCCACACCGGGACUGAGACACGGCCCAGACUCCUACGGGAGGCAGCAGUAGGGAAUCUUCGGCAAUGGGGGCAACCCUGACCGAGCAACGCCGCGUGAGUGAAGAAGGUUUUCGGAUCGUAAAGCUCUGUUGUAAGUCAAGAACGAGUGUGAGAGUGGAAAGUUCACACUGUGACGGUAGCUUACCAGAAAGGGACGGCUAACUACGUGCCAGCAGCCGCGGUAAUACGUAGGUCCCGAGCGUUGUCCGGAUUUAUUGGGCGUAAAGCGAGCGCGGGCGGUUUGAUAAGUCUGAAGUUAAAGGCUGUGGCUCAACCAUAGUUCGCUUUGGAAACUGUCAAACUUGAGUGCAGAAGGGGAGAGUGGAAUUCCAUGUGUAGCGGUGAGAUGCGUAGAUAUAUGGAGGAACACCGGUGGCGAAAGCGGCUCUCUGGUCUGUAACUGACGCUGAGGCUCGAAAGCGUGGGGAGCGAACAGGAUUAGAUACCCUGGUAGUCCACGCCGUAAACGAUGAGUGCUAGGUGUUGGAUCCUUUCCGGGAUUCAGUGCCGCAGCUAACGCAUUAAGCACUCCGCCUGGGGAGUACGACCGCAAGGUUGAAACUCAAAGGAAUUGACGGGGGCCCGCACAAGCGGUGGAGCAUGUGGUUUAAUUCGAAGCAACGCGAAGAACCUUACCAGGUCUUGACAUCCCGAUGCUAUUUCUAGAGAUAGAAAGUUACUUCGGUACAUCGGUGACAGGUGGUGCAUGGUUGUCGUCAGCUCGUGUCGUGAGAUGUUGGGUUAAGUCCCGCAACGAGCGCAACCCCUAUUGUUAGUUGCCAUCAUUCAGUUGGGCACUCUAGCGAGACUGCCGGUAAUAAACCGGAGGAAGGUGGGGAUGACGUCAAAUCAUCAUGCCCCUUAUGACCUGGGCUACACACGUGCUACAAUGGUUGGUACAACGAGUUGCGAGUCGGUGACGGCAAGCUAAUCUCUUAAAGCCAAUCUCAGUUCGGAUUGUAGGCUGCAACUCGCCUACAUGAAGUCGGAAUCGCUAGUAAUCGCGGAUCAGCACGCCGCGGUGAAUACGUUCCCGGGCCU
Molecule: ribosomal RNA, 1369 nt
Filed under: uncultured bacterium
Lineage: Bacteria
Description: bacterial SSU rRNA
Rfam family: Bacterial small subunit ribosomal RNA
Source: RNAcentral